Molecule: non-coding RNA, 1336 nt
Filed under: Caenorhabditis japonica
Lineage: Eukaryota; Metazoa; Nematoda; Chromadorea; Rhabditida; Rhabditidae
Description: Eukaryotic small subunit ribosomal RNA
Rfam family: Eukaryotic small subunit ribosomal RNA
Source: Rfam by way of RNAcentral
UUAUCCACUGUUGAGUAUGAGAUAGUGACUAAAAAUAUAAAGACUCAUCCUUUUGGAUGAGUUAUUUCAAUGAGUUGAAUAUAAAUUAUUCUUCGAGUAGCAAGGAGAGGGCAAGUCUGGUGCCAGCAGCCGCGGUAAUUCCAGCUCUCCUAGUGUAUCUCGUUAUUGCUGCGGUUAAAAAGCUCGUAGUUGGAUCUAGGUUACGUGCCGCAGUUCGCAAUUUGCGUUAACUGUGGUCGUGACUUCUAAUUUGCUGGUUUGAGGUUGGGUUCGCCCUUCAACUGCCAGCAGGUUUACCUUGAAUAAAUCAGAGUGCUCAAUACAGGCGCUUGCUUGAAUAGCUCAUCAUGGAAUAAUGAAACAGGACUUCGGUUCUUUUUGUUGGUUCUAGAAUUGAUCUAAUGGUUAAGAGGGACAAACCGGGGGCAUUCGUAUCAUUACGCGAGAGGUGAAAUUCGUGGACCGUAGUGAGACGCCCAAUAGCGAAAGCAUUUGCCAAGAAUGUCUUCAUUAAUCAAGAACGAAAGUCAGAGGUUCGAAGGCGAUUAGAUACCGCCCUAGUUCUGACCGUAAACGAUGCCAUCUCGCGAUUCGGAGGGUUCAUGCCCUACCGAGGAGCUACCCGGAAACGAAAGUCUUUCGGUUCCGGGGGUAGUAUGGUUGCAAAGCUGAAACUUAAAGAAAUUGACGGAAGGGCACCACAAGGCGUGGAGCUUGCGGCUUAAUUUGACUCAACACGGGAAAACUCACCCGGUCCGGACACUAUUAGGACUGACAGAUUGAAAGCUCUUUCUCGAUUUGGUGGUUGGUGGUGCAUGGCCGUUCUUAGUUGGUGGAGUGAUUUGUCUGGUUUAUUCCGAUAACGAGCGAGACUCUAGCCUGCUAAAUAGUCGACGAAUCUUCGGGUUCGUAUAACUUCUUAGAGGGAUAAGCGGUGUUUAGCCGCACGAGAUUGAGCGAUAACAGGUCUGUGAUGCCCUUAGAUGUCCGGGGCUGCACGCGUGCUACACUGGUGGAGUCAGCGGGUUUUUCCUAUGCCGAAAGGUAUCGGUAAACCGUUGAACUUCUUCCAUGUCCGGGAUAGGGUAUUGUAAUUAUUACCCUUAAACGAGGAAUGCCUAGUAAGUGUGAGUCAUCAGCUCACGUUGAUUACGUCCCUGCCCUUUGUACACACCGCCCGUCGCUAUCCGGGACUGAACUGAUUCGAGAAGAGUGGGGACUGUGGCUGCGAGGUUUUACCACUUCGCAGUUGCGGAAACCAUUUUUAUCGCAUUGGUUUGAACCGGGUAAAAGUCGUAACAAGGUAGCUGUAGGUGAACCAGCAGCUGGAUCAUCG